This is a non-coding RNA of Marmota flaviventris (yellow-bellied marmot), 1160 nucleotides long. Lineage: Eukaryota; Metazoa; Chordata; Mammalia; Rodentia; Sciuridae. The record is from RefSeq and is a predicted model, not a curated record.
CUCAGCCCUGUGGCGGAAGUGAGGCCCUGCAGCUGAGGUGGGAGACUUGGGGGGGAUGCUGAGCAAGCCUGAGGUAGCUCAGAGGGGUCCCUAGGCAGCCUACCCCACAUCAGGGACACCUGCCUCACAGAGCAAAGUUCCUUUGGAACUAGGGGAGCAGGAGAGGGAGGGCAGGCCCACUGUGGAAAGGGGGCUAGAGAAGCUCGGGCCCCCAACCUGAGAGACUCAUGGUGGCUCAGAGGACAUGUGGCAAACCCACUCUGCUGACCCAGAAGGCUCUGCCCAGGGGCAGGGUGGAUGGGUAGGUGGGGCCAGGCACCCAUGCCUGCUGAGUCCCCAAGGCCAGCUGUUCUCCCCACUGAGGUCACUCCUACCUCCUGGGUUGUUGGAGGCAGGGCAUCCUGUAGGUCUCUGACCCUGCGGCGCCUUAUCUUGAUGGCCUGGCGCAAGAGGGGAGGGCGCCGCUGUGGGUGGGAGAGGCUUGUCGCCAUGAUGGCUGGUUCUGCCCUUCCCUCUGCCGCCCUGCUGCUGCUGAGUGAAGACGGUGAAGCCACAGGAUGAUGCAAAGAGCCCCAAGGCUGCCACCCUCUGCCUGGGAAGGGUGGAGGGAGCGCAGUGGGGGGGACAGAAGGGUCAGGGUGUCACUGCCUUGGAGAGGCUGUCUCCCAGGUCUCCUGCACCUUCCUCCAGCCCAGAUCCUUGCAAGAGCCUGUCUAUCCUGGAGCAGAAAGUGGACGCUGUAGGCUGCCUGAAUACCUUGAGAUGCCACCUGGAGCAUGCGCUGACCAAACUCGAUGGCACCCCCUGCUGUGAAGGUCAACUUGUAUGAAGCGGAGCCUUCCCAGCCACCUAUGAAGGGGGCAAGACAGCAAAUGAACAGUGAAGGAAAAGAAAACAGAGAGAGCAAAACCCUUUCCUGUGCCUUGGAGAUUUUUGGCAGGAGGAAGACUGUCUGCCAUGCAGACAUUGUGUCAGGACCUGAGUCAGCCAGAGGGAAAUAUUUUCCAGAAUCUAACAAUACCUUGCAAGGUUUGAGAAACACCAUCCUUAUUUGCAUCAGUUUCCAACUGCUGGACUUGAUAAAAGCCCAAGCCAUCUGUUCUUCUGUAGACACUGGUUUGGUCUAACUGAGCCUGCAUUUUCCUGAUUUGCAAAUCUAU